RNAcentral lists this ribosomal RNA (521 nucleotides) under Trigonopterus variabilis. RNAcentral describes it as "partial large subunit ribosomal RNA". It matches the Rfam family "Bacterial large subunit ribosomal RNA", at positions 1819 to 2625 of the family's 2925-position model. Lineage: Eukaryota; Metazoa; Arthropoda; Insecta; Coleoptera; Curculionidae. The record is from RNAcentral.
GGCUUGUUGAUUAUAAUUUCAGGUCGGACCUGCCCUAUGAGAGUUAAAUGGCCGCGGUAAAUUGACCGUGCAAAGGUAGCAUAAUCAUUAGUUUUUUAAUUGAAAGCUUGUAUGAAAGGUUUAAUGAAAAAAUAACUGUCUCUAGUUAAAUUUAAUAAAAUUUUAUUUUUAAGUUAAAAAGCUUAAAUGUUUAUAGAAGACGAGAAGACCCUAUAGAGUUUUAUAUGUUAUAAAUUUAAGUAUAAAAUUUUAAUUUUAAAUAGAGUAUUUUAUUGGGGUGAUAAAAAAAAUUAAACUUUUUUUUAAUUUAAACAUAGAUGAAUGGAUAUAAGAGCCUAGUAUUUAGAUUAUAAGAUUAAAUUACCUUAGGGAUAACAGCGUAAUUUUCUUUAGAGUACUGAUCGAAUAGAAAGAUUGCGACCUCGAUGUUGGAUUAAAAUUUAUUAAUGGUGGAGAAGCUAUUAGAUUAGGUCUGUUCGACCUUUAAAAUUUUACAUGAUCUGAGUUUAAACCGGCGUGAG